This is a non-coding RNA of Pelobates cultripes (western spadefoot toad), 239 nucleotides long. NCBI's taxonomy places the organism in Eukaryota, Metazoa, Chordata, Amphibia, Anura, Pelobatidae. The record is from the annotation of a GenBank genome assembly.
AAAUAGAAGCAUUAAAAGUGUUUUGUUUAAAUCUUUUUUGCCCUCCUUUAUUUCAGGCUCACCCGAGCGUUGGUUUAGGCACACCUCUACCAACUAUGGUUACAACAAUGACAUCAAGUACGGCUUAAAUGUUCUCGACUACAAAUGUUAAGGCGGAGCCUGGAGUUGUGGGAGGGGUUAACCGGCCUACUUAAACUCUGACCUACCCCUAGUCAUUACUGAUACCGACCAGACUCCCC